AGGGUGCUAGGUAACGCCUAGUGGGAGUGAUCCUAAGGAAAGUGCAACAGAAAAUAACCGCCAGCGUAAGUUGGUAAGGAUGAAAAGGUGAGGUAAGAGCUCACCGUUGGCUAGGUGACUAGCCAAGCCGUGUAAACCCCACCCGGAGCAAGUCCAAGUUAGGGUUAAUAGGGUGCUGCUCGUACCCUCCGGUAGGUAGGACGCUUGAGCCUAUUGGUGACAAUAGGCCUAGAAAGAUGAUCGUUUAAUACAGAACUCCGCUUAUAGAUUUGCUCAU
This 277-nucleotide RNase P RNA is filed under the name human gut metagenome. RNAcentral describes it as "Bacterial RNase P class A". It matches the Rfam family "Bacterial RNase P class A", at positions 68 to 367 of the family's 367-position model. From Rfam's summary of the family: Ribonuclease P (RNase P) is a ubiquitous endoribonuclease, found in archaea, bacteria and eukarya as well as chloroplasts and mitochondria. Its best characterised activity is the generation of mature 5'-ends of tRNAs by cleaving the 5'-leader elements of precursor-tRNAs. The record is from RNAcentral.